GGAGAGGUGGCCGAGUGGUCUAAGGCGCUAGACUAAGGAUCUAGUCCAUUCGUGGGCGCGAGUUCGAAUCUCGCCCUCUUCA
Molecule: transfer RNA, 82 nt
Organism: Gloeophyllum trabeum ATCC 11539
Lineage: Eukaryota; Fungi; Basidiomycota; Agaricomycetes; Gloeophyllales; Gloeophyllaceae
Rfam family: tRNA
About the family: Transfer RNA (tRNA) molecules are approximately 80 nucleotides in length. Their secondary structure includes four short double-helical elements and three loops (D, anti-codon, and T loops).
Source: Rfam